AGGCAAGAAGUGUCUUGGAUGGAAAGAUUCUGCCCCUUUUUAGGGUGAAAAGAAAAACCACAUCCAAUCUUCCGGCACAUGUCCAAGCAGUUCAAGAUCGGGAAAGGAAUGACUAAAGAUUAGUGGACUUGAUUAUCACAUCAAAAUCAGCAGAGCAGCAUUUGGUGGAUAUACUCGGUGGGAAAAGGUCAAAUUGGUUUCCACUAAAACCCCGUUCUCAAGUGCCUGUCUACAUUGAGAAUGAGCAGUCCCAGUCAAUCAUUUGUGACUACAUCAGAGGAAUUCUUAAUAAAACCAAAACACAGCUGACCUUCAAUGAUGAGGUGGAGUUCAUUUGUGGAUGUCUCCUCCCAGAGGCCAUAACUCAUGGCAUUUCCGAGUUACAAGGCUUGUCUUGGCAGGAGGCUGAAGAUGUCUUCCUCCAGGGCCCCAUUUAUCACGCAAGUGAAGUUGAGGAAUUUAACAGAAGAAUUGCUCGAGAAAUGAAAAAUCUCCCCAACAAGAAUGUAAAGCAUUUUAUUUUAUUUUAUAUGUAAUAAAUACAUUAUUAAU
Molecule: non-coding RNA, 552 nt
Organism: Danio rerio (zebrafish)
Lineage: Eukaryota; Metazoa; Chordata; Actinopteri; Cypriniformes; Danionidae
Source: RefSeq, a predicted model, not a curated record